This 465-nucleotide ribosomal RNA is filed under the name uncultured Klebsiella sp. Its description in RNAcentral is "bacterial SSU rRNA". It matches the Rfam family "Bacterial small subunit ribosomal RNA", at positions 338 to 795 of the family's 1533-position model. Lineage: Bacteria; Pseudomonadati; Pseudomonadota; Gammaproteobacteria; Enterobacterales; Enterobacteriaceae. The record is from RNAcentral.
CCUACGGGUGGCUGCAGUGGGGAAUAUUGCACAAUGGGCGCAAGCCUGAUGCAGCCAUGCCGCGUGUGUGAAGAAGGCCUUCGGGUUGUAAAGCACUUUCAGCGGGGAGGAAGGCGGUGAGGUUAAUAACCUCAUCGAUUGACGUUACCCGCAGAAGAAGCACCGGCUAACUCCGUGCCAGCAGCCGCGGUAAUACGGAGGGUGCAAGCGUUAAUCGGAAUUACUGGGCGUAAAGCGCACGCAGGCGGUCUGUCAAGUCGGAUGUGAGAUCCCCGGGCUCAACCUGGGAACUGCAUUCGAAACUGGCAGGCUAGAGUCUUGUAGAGGGGGGUAGAAUUCCAGGUGUAGCGGUGAAAUGCGUAGAGAUCUGGAGGAAUACCGGUGGCGAAGGCGGCCCCCUGGACAAAGACUGACGCUCAGGUGCGAAAGCGUGGGGAGCAAACAGGAUUAGAUACCCCAGUAGUC